Molecule: ribosomal RNA, 498 nt
Filed under: uncultured bacterium
Lineage: Bacteria
Description: partial 16S ribosomal RNA
Rfam family: Bacterial small subunit ribosomal RNA
Source: RNAcentral
AUUGAACGCUGGCGGCAUGCCUUACACAUGCAAGUCGAACGGUAACAGGUCUUCGGAUGCUGACGAGUGGCGAACGGGUGAGUAAUACAUCGGAACGUGCCUAGUAGUGGGGGAUAACUACUCGAAAGAGUGGCUAAUACCGCAUGAGAUCUACGGAUGAAAGAAGGGGAUCGCAAGACCUUGUGCUACUAGAGCGGCCGAUGGCAGAUUAGGUAGUUGGUGGGAUAAAAGCUUACCAAGCCGACGAUCUGUAGCUGGUCUGAGAGGACGAUCAGCCACACUGGGGCUGAGACACGGCCCAGACUCCUACGGGAGGCAGCAGUGGGGAAUUUUGGACAAUGGGCGCAAGCCUGAUCCAGCAAUGCCGCGUGCAGGAUGAAGGCCUUCGGGUUGUAAACUGCUUUUGUACGGAACGAAAAGCCCUGGGUUAAUACCCUGGGGUCAUGACGGUACCGUAAGAAUAAGCACCGGCUAACUACGUGCCAGCAGCCGCGGUAA